Molecule: ribosomal RNA, 255 nt
Filed under: uncultured bacterium
Lineage: Bacteria
Description: partial 16S ribosomal RNA
Rfam family: Bacterial small subunit ribosomal RNA
Source: RNAcentral
UACGAAGGGGAGCUAGCGUUGUUCGGAAUCACUGGGCGUAAAGCGCACGCAGGCGGAUCGUUAAGUCGGGGGUGAAAUCCCGAGGCUCAACCUCGGAACUGCCUUCGAUACUGGCGAUCUUUGAGUCCGGGAGAGGUGAGUGGGACUCCGAGUGUAGAGGUGAAAUUCGUAGAUAUUCGGAAGAACACCAGUGGCGAAGGCGGCUCACUGGCCCGGUACUGACGCUCAGGUGCGAAAGCGUGGGGAGCAAACAGG